RNAcentral lists this ribosomal RNA (1469 nucleotides) under uncultured Bordetella sp. RNAcentral describes it as "partial 16S-23S ribosomal RNA intergenic spacer". It matches the Rfam family "Bacterial small subunit ribosomal RNA". Lineage: Bacteria; Pseudomonadati; Pseudomonadota; Betaproteobacteria; Burkholderiales; Alcaligenaceae. The record is from RNAcentral.
GGUUUGAUCCUGGCUCGAUUGAACGCUGGCGGGAUGCUUUACAUGCAAGUCGAACGGCAGCACGGACUUCGGUCUGGUGGCGAGGGCGAACGGUGAGUAAUGUAUCGGAACGUGCCUAGUAGCGGGGAUAACUACGCGAAAGCGUAGCUAAUACCGCAUACGCCCUUCGGGGGAAAGCGGGGACCUUCGGGCCUCGCACUAUUAGGAGCGGCCGAUAUCGGAUUAGCUAGUUGGUGGGGUAACGGCUCACUAAGGACGAUCCGUAGCUGGUUUGAGAGGACGACCAGCCACACUGGGACUGAGACACGGCCCAGACUCUACGGAGGCGCAGUGGGGAAUUUUGGCCGGGAAUCCUCAUCCAGCCAUCCCGCGUGUGCGAUGAAGGCCUCGCUUAUAAAAGAAUUUUUGGCAGGAAGAAACGGCACGGGAUAAUACCCCGUGCAACUGACGGUACCUGCAGAAUAAGCACCGGCCAACUACGUGCCAGCAGCCGCGGUAAUACGUAGGGUACAAGCGUUAAUCGGAAUUAAUGGCGUAAAAGCGUGCGCAGGCGGUUCGGAAAGAAAGAUGUGAAAUCCCAGAGCUUAACUUUGGAACUGCAUUUUUAACUACCGAGCUAGAGUGUGUCAGAGGGAGGUGGAAUUCCGCGUGUAGCAGUGGAAAUGCGUAGAUAUGGCGGAGGAACACCGAUGGCGAAGCGCAGCCUCCUGGGAUAACACUGACGCUCAUGCACGAAAGCGUGGGGAGCAAAAACAGAUUAGGAUACCCUGGUAGUCCACGCCCUAAACGAUGUCAACUAGCUGUUGGGGCCUUCGGGCCCUUGGUAGCAGCUAACGGUGAAGUUGACCGCCUGGGGAGUACGGUCGCAAGAUUAAAACUCAAAGGAAUUGACGGGGACCCGCAAUGCUGUGGAUGAUGUGGAUGACUGAUGCAACGCGAAAAAACCUACCUACCCUUGAUACACCGGAAUCCCGAAGAGAUUUGGGAGUGCUCGCAAGAGAACCGGAACACAGGUGCUGCAUGGCUGUCGUCAGCUCGUGUCGUGAGUAUGUUGGGUUAAGUCCCGCAACGAGUGCAACCCUUGUCAUUAGUUGUUACGAAAGGGCACUCUAAUGAGACUCGCCGGGUGUGACAAACUGAGGAAGGUGGGGAUGACGUCAAGUCCUCAUGGCCCUUAUGGGUAGGGCUUCACACGUCAUACAAUGGUCGGGACAGUGGUCGCCAACCCGCGAGGGGGAGCCAAUCCCAGAAACCCGAUCGUAGUCCGGAUCGCAGUCUGCAACUCGACUGCGUGAAGUCGGAAUCGCUAGUAAUCGCGGAUCAGCAUGUCGCGGUGAAUACGUUCCCGGUCUGCACACACCGCCCGUCACACCAUGGGAGUGGGUUUUAUCGAAGUAGUUAGCCUAACCGUAAGGAGGGCGAUUACUUCUGUAGGAUUCAUGACUGGGGGUGAAGUCGUAACAAGGUAA